GAAGUUAGGAAGCUUGCUUCUGAUACUUAGUGGCGGACGGGUGAGUAAUGCUUAGGAAUCUGCCUGGUAGUGGGGGAUAACUUGGGGAAACCCAAGCUAAUACCGCAUACGACCUACGGGUGAAAGGGGGCUUUUAGCUCUCGCUAUUAGAUGAGCCUAAGUCGGAUUAGCCGGUUGGUGGGGUAAAGGCCUACCAAGGCGACGAUCUGUAGCUGGUCUGAGAGGAUGAUCAGCCACACUGGGACUGAGACACGGCCCAGACUCCUACGGGAGGCAGCAGUGGGGAAUAUUGGACAAUGGGCGAAAGCCUGAUCCAGCCAUGCCGCGUGUGUNAAGAAGGCCUUUUGGUUGUAAAGCACUUUAAGUGGGGAGGAAAAGCUUAUGGUUAAUACCCAUAAGCCCUGACGUUACCCACAGAAUAAGCACCGGCUAACUCUGUGCCAGCAGCCGCGGUAAUACAGAGGGUGCAAGCGUUAAUCGGAAUUACUGGGCGUUAAGCGCGCGUUGGUGGUUAUUUAAGUCAGAUGUGAAAGCCCCGGGCUUAACCUGGGAACUGCAUCUGAUACUGGAUAACUAGAGUAGGUGAGAGGGGAGUAGAAUUCCAGGUGUAGCGGUGAAAUGCGUAGAGAUCUGGAGGAAUACCGAUGGCGAAGGCAGCUCCCUGGCAUCAUACUGACACUGAGGUGCGAAAGCGUGGGUAGCAAACAGGAUUAGAUACCCUGGUAGUCCACGCCGUAAACGAUGUCUACCAGUCGUUGGGUCUUUUAAAGACUUAGUGACGCAGUUA
RNAcentral lists this ribosomal RNA (787 nucleotides) under uncultured Moraxella sp. RNAcentral's name for it is "bacterial SSU rRNA". It matches the Rfam family "Bacterial small subunit ribosomal RNA", at positions 68 to 854 of the family's 1533-position model. The record is from RNAcentral. Lineage: Bacteria; Pseudomonadati; Pseudomonadota; Gammaproteobacteria; Moraxellales; Moraxellaceae.